CAUUGCGGAAGGGAGUGUGGUACUAUAUAUCGAUACAAACACUAACAAUAAUUAUUCAUUAUAAAACUCAAUGUAUCAGUGCAUUAUAUUUUACUUAAUUUAAAUAUCAUACUGUAGUUUUUAUUUUUUAUUUGUAAAAUGGUAUAUUUUAUUUGUAUUAUCCACGGAUCGGAUAAAAUAUUAUAAUAAGGUUAAGACUGAGAUUAUUCGUACUUUUAUAAUAUUUGGUGCCUCGCUCAAAGAUAAUUGUUUACUAAAGAUGCCCGACGAAGAAAAAAGAAAAUAUUUAAAAAUCAUCAAAAGUUUAAAAAAACCUUACCGAUCUCCAAAAGCACCAAUCAUGGCAACCACGGCGUAUGGUGUCCAAGAAGCUAUGAAUAAGCAACAAAUUGUGAUAGCUGCUUUUGCAAUUCUU
Long non-coding RNA from Aphis gossypii (cotton aphid), 415 nucleotides. RefSeq lists it as uncharacterized. NCBI's taxonomy places the organism in Eukaryota, Metazoa, Arthropoda, Insecta, Hemiptera, Aphididae. The record is from RefSeq and is a predicted model, not a curated record. The transcript has 3 exons.